GAGGACAUCUAUCUUCUGUUGAGUAUCAGAAGCAAAGCAGCUCCCUUAGAUCUCAGCCUAGGAGUAGAGCAGUGUGGAGUUAGGCUUCCUACAAAUGGACUACUUGUCUUCCAGAUCAUCUUACCUCCUCCCCUUACAUCUCCCCCAGAAAAUAGGAAAAGGUUUCCCUAAUGACCCCAUCAUUUUAUGCUUUUCCGGAGGAGGGUGAGUGGGGAGGCCAGGAACCACAGUGGCCUUGGACACUCUCCAAUGACCUGGCAUCCUGGUCAUUUUUUGGCCUCCAUGCUACAUUACUUUCCCCUCUUUAGAUCUUGACAGAUGUUUCUGAGUGUGGAAAUUUACAUUGUCCCCAGGAUUCAAGGCUAACCUUGGACCUGAAAUCCCUGCCGUGAAACUCAUAUAACAUCCCAAGCAGAGUCUCCCAUCUGACCUACCAACACCUGGCUGGAGCCCUGCCCUGAGAAAAAAGGCAGAAGGGCUAGACAAUGGGGAUCAAGUGACCUGAGGAUGGAAAUUUACAUUGUCCCCAGGAUUCAAGGCUAACCUUGGACCUGAAAUCCCUGCAGUGAAACUCGAGUCUCCCAUCUGACCUACCAACACCUGGCUGGAGCCCUGCCCUGAGAAAAAAACCCAGUGCUCUAUCCACGCCGAAGAUGUGACUCUAGAGUGAGCUCUGGGGACAGUAUCCCUAGGAGAAUGCACCUCAGGAGAUGACUCUCCAAAGAACAACAGAACCCAGGAAUGUUUUAUAUCCUUUGGGGAACUCGGAGCAUCAAACCUACACUGACAGCUUGUCAGCAGGCUUGGGAAAGAGGCAGUAGCCAGAGACUGGGGUAUCAGGGAGUGGUCUGCUACAAUGGAUACUAAAAGGAUGGUUCCUGCACAGUGUCUCUGAGGGACAAACCAGAACUUUGAGGAACAACCAUAAUUAAGGGGCAGGACCUAGGAUAUUGAUUCAACAAAAAGAAGGGAAGUGUUUAGAAGAUAGGAGGAAAACCAGGAGAUAGUAGUAUCAUAAAAACUAAAGAAGAGAGAAUAUCCAGCAGGAAGAGGAUGUCAGAUGGUGCAGAGAUGUUAAAAAAAAAAUGAAAACUAAGAACAGUUGUUGGCUUGAUACAAAAUAAAAAUCUUCUAACAAUUGUUAUGGUUGUUGAGUCUUUUCAGUCAUGUCCCACUCUUCAUGACCCCAUUUUGGGUUUCCAUGGCAAAGAUACUGAAGUGGUUUGCCAUUUCCUUCUUCAGCACAUUUGAUAGAUGAGGAAAAUGAGGAAAACAGGAUUGAGUGACUUGCCUGGCGUUACACAGCUAAUAAGUAUCUGAGGCCAGAUUUGAAAAUGAGUCUUCCUGACUCCAGGCAUGGCAUUCUGUGCCACCUAGCUGCCUGUUUCUAACAAUUAGACUUAUUCAAAAGUGGAAAGAACCACCUUCCAAGGUAACAGAAUCCUUAUCAUUAAAGGUCUUUAAAUGGAAGCUGAAUAUCUAUUUGUCAAAUAUGGAUUGGACAAGAUGACUUCUGAGGUUCCUUCCAAGUCUGAGAUUGUGGGAUUCAAAGAUGUGUGUUUAAAGAUUCAGGUCUACUGGAACAACCUCCAGGAAGUGAUGCAGAGCGAAAGGAGCAGAACCAGGAAAACAUUGUACACAGAGACUGAUACAUUGUGGUACAAUCUAAGGUGAUGGACUUCUCCAUUAGUAUCAAUGCAAUGUCCCUGAACAAUCUGCAGGGAUCUAAAAAAUACUACCCACAAGCAGAGGAUAAACUGUGGGAGUAAAAACACCAAUGAAAAGCAACUGCUUGACUACAGGGUUGGAGGAGAUAAGACUGAGGAGAGACUCUAAAUAAACACUAUAAUGCAAAUUCCAACAACAGGGAAAUGGGUUCGAGUCAAGAACACAUGUGAUAACCAGUGGAAUCAUGCGUUGGCUAUGGGAGAGGGAAAGGUGGGGGGGAGGGGAGGAAAAGAAAAUGAUCUUUGUUUCCAGUGAAUAAUGUAUGAAAA
Long non-coding RNA from Monodelphis domestica (gray short-tailed opossum), 1997 nucleotides. RefSeq lists it as uncharacterized. The record is from RefSeq and is a predicted model, not a curated record. Lineage: Eukaryota; Metazoa; Chordata; Mammalia; Didelphimorphia; Didelphidae.